CCUACGGGUGGCAGCAGUGAGGAAUAUUGGUCAAUGGGCUUACGCCUGAACCAGCCAAGUCGCGUGAGGGAAGACUGCCCUAUGGGUUGUAAACCUCUUUUGUCAGGGAGCAACGCCGGCUACGUGUAGCCGGACUGAGAGUACCUGAAGAAAAAGCAUCGGCUAACUCCGUGCCAGCAGCAGCGGUAAUACGGGGGAUGCGAGCGUUAUCCGGAUUUAUUGGGUUUAAAGGGUGCGUAGGCGGAAUGCAAAUUCAGCGGGAAAACCGCGGGGCUAACCCUCGCUCCGCAGUUGAACCUGGCGGUCGUGAGUGGGCGAGAGGUAUGCGGAAUGCGUGGUGUAGCGGUGAAAUGCAUAGAUAUCACGCAGAACUCCGAUUGCGAAGGCAGCAUACCGGCGCCCAACUGACGCUGAAGCACGAAAGCGUGGGGAUCGAACAGGAUUAGAUACCCCGGUAGUC
RNAcentral lists this ribosomal RNA (460 nucleotides) under uncultured bacterium. RNAcentral's name for it is "partial 16S ribosomal RNA". It matches the Rfam family "Bacterial small subunit ribosomal RNA", at positions 338 to 795 of the family's 1533-position model. The record is from RNAcentral.